GAUGAACGCUGGCGGCGUGCCUAAUACAUGCAAGUCGAGCGAACAGAUGAGGAGCUUGCUCCUCUGACGUUAGCGGCGGACGGGUGAGUAACACGUGGAUAACCUACCUAUAAGACUGGGAUAACUUCGGGAAACCGGAGCUAAUACCGGAUAAUAUAUUGAACCGCAUGGUUCAAUAGUGAAAGACGGUUUUGCUGUCACUUAUAGAUGGAUCCGCGCCGCAUUAGCUAGUUGGUAAGGUAACGGCUUACCAAGGCAACGAUGCGUAGCCGACCUGAGAGGGUGAUCGGCCACACUGGAACUGAGACACGGUCCAGACUCCUACGGGAGGCAGCAGUAGGGAACCUUCCGCAAUGGGCGAAAGCCUGACGGAGCAACGCCGCGUGAGUGAUGAAGGUCUUCGGAUCGUAAAACUCUGUUAUUAGGGAAGAACAAAUGUGUAAGUAACUAUGCACGUCCUGACGGUACCUAAUCAGAAAGCCACGGCUAACUACGUG
Molecule: ribosomal RNA, 497 nt
Filed under: uncultured bacterium
Lineage: Bacteria
Description: partial 16S ribosomal RNA
Rfam family: Bacterial small subunit ribosomal RNA
Source: RNAcentral